Molecule: ribosomal RNA, 546 nt
Filed under: Fusarium oxysporum
Lineage: Eukaryota; Fungi; Ascomycota; Sordariomycetes; Hypocreales; Nectriaceae
Description: eukaryotic LSU rRNA
Rfam family: 5.8S ribosomal RNA (bases 200-353)
Source: RNAcentral
AGUAAAAGUCGUAACAAGGUCUCCGUUGGUGAACCAGCGGAGGGAUCAUUACCGAGUUUACAACUCCCAAACCCCUGUGAACAUACCACUUGUUGCCUCGGCGGAUCAGCCCGCUCCCGGUAAAACGGGACGGCCCGCCAGAGGACCCCUAAACUCUGUUUCUAUAUGUAACUUCUGAGUAAAACCAUAAAUAAAUCAAAACUUUCAACAACGGAUCUCUUGGUUCUGGCAUCGAUGAAGAACGCAGCAAAAUGCGAUAAGUAAUGUGAAUUGCAGAAUUCAGUGAAUCAUCGAAUCUUUGAACGCACAUUGCGCCCGCCAGUAUUCUGGCGGGCAUGCCUGUUCGAGCGUCAUUUCAACCCUCAAGCACAGCUUGGUGUUGGGACUCGCGUUAAUUCGCGUUCCUCAAAUUGAUUGGCGGUCACGUCGAGCUUCCAUAGCGUAGUAGUAAAACCCUCGUUACUGGUAAUCGUCGCGGCCACGCCGUUAAACCCCAACUUCUGAAUGUUGACCUCGGAUCAGGUAGGAAUACCCGCUGAACUUAAG